Molecule: long non-coding RNA, 2109 nt
Filed under: Betta splendens (Siamese fighting fish)
Lineage: Eukaryota; Metazoa; Chordata; Actinopteri; Anabantiformes; Osphronemidae
Description: lncRNA (ENSBSLG00000010321.1)
Source: RNAcentral
AUGGUUUUUACCUGCUCGAGGCUGCCGGAGGACCUCCGCUGGUGCUUCGGGGAGCUCGCGAGGAAUUACGCGGAAGCCCCCAGUCUGAAGGCGCGGCUCCGCGUAAUAAAACAGGCGAUCGCUAUCCUGGAGGAGGAAUUUUGGUGGCUUGACUACCCGGGAGUGCAGACGCUUUUGGAGAGGCUCCAGGCAGUACGGAGGGAUUUGGCACGCGCUCUGCGCGCGGCGCCCGCCAGCGUCUCAUCAGCUGUUCCUGCUGCACCGGAAAGCGCUCCUGUCGCUGCUCAGUCAAGCCAAGCUCACGUUCCUGUCGCUGCCCAGUCAAGCCAAGCUCACGUUCCUGUCGCUGCCCAGUCAAGCCAAGCUCACGUUCCUGUCGCUGCUCAGUCAAGCCAAGCUCACGUUCCUGUCGCUGCCCAGUCAAGCCAAGCUCACGUUCCUGUCGCUGCCCAGUCAAGCCAAGCUCACGUUCCUGUCGCUGCUCAGUCGAGUCAAGCUCACGUUCCUGCCGUCGCUCAGUCGAACCAAGCUCACGUUCCUGCCGUCGCUCAGUCGAACCAAGCUCACGUUCCUGUCGCUGCUCAGUCUAGUCAAGCUCACGUUCCUGUCGCUGCUCAGUCUAGUCAAGCUCACGUUCCUGUCGCUGCUCAGUCUAGUCAAGCUCACGUUCCUGUCGCUGCUCAGUCUAGUCAAGCUCACGUUCCUGUCGCUGCUCAGUCGAGUCAAGCUCACGUUCCUGUCGCUGCUCAGUCUAGUCAAGCUCACGUUCCUGUCGCUGCUCAGUCAAACCAAGCCCAUGCCCACGUUACCGCCAUAGUUCCCCAGUCCAAUCCAGUCCGUGCCGUGGAUCCAGCCCCUGCCUCAGCCCUGGCGGUUGAGGAGGUGAAGUCCACAGCUAGUCGUCGGAGGUCCAGACGGCGUCGACGACAGCCGGAUUCCCCUGUCCAGGCUCCAGAGGACUCGGUCACAGAAAUCAAGCGGCCCUCUCCGCCAGCAGAGGGCACUCCCGCUCCAUCAUACGACAUGCCCACCUCCAUCGCAGGCAUCCCGGACAGCAUCUUCCUGCGGAUCCGUGCCCAAUGCGCCCCUCCGGUCCUGUUCCUGUUUGCACACUGGCUGAACUCCGCUGAGGCAGAGACCGACCCGGUAAGCAAGGAGCGUCACUUCCGUGAAGCCGCCCUGCUCAUCGCCCGGAAGCCUGCGCUGCGCGAGGCCCUGGGUUUCAUUGAAUCCCCAUCAGAGCCUGCACCCGUUCCUGCAUCAGAGCCUGCACCCGUUCCUGCAUCAGAGCCUGCACCCGUUCCUGCAUCAGAGCCUGCACCCGUUCCUGCAUCAGAGCCUGCACCCGUUCCUGCAUCAGAGCCUGCACCCGUUCCUGCAUCAGAGCCUGCACUGGCCCCAGCGUCUAAGUCUGCAUCACUGGCCCCAGCGUCUAAGUCUGCAUCACUGGCCCCAGCGUCUAAGUCUGCAUCACUGGCCCCAGCGUCUAAGUCUGCAUCACUGGCCCCAGCGUCUAAGUCUGCAUCACUGGCCCCAGCGUCUAAGUCUGCAUCACUGGCCCACUGGCCCCAGCGUCUAAGUCUGCAUCACUGGCCCCAGCGUCUAAGUCUGCAUCACUGGCCCCAGCGUCUAAGUCUGCAUCACUGGCCCCAGCGUCUAAGUCUGCACCACUGGCCCCAGCGUCUAAGUCUGCACCACUGGCCCCAGCGUCUAAGUCUGCACCACUGGCCCCAGCGUCUAAGUCUGCACCACUGGCCCCAGCGUCUAAGUCUGCACCACUGGCCCCAGCGUCUAAGUCUGCACCACUGGCCCCAGCGUCUAAGUCUGCACCACUGGCCCCAGCGUCUAAGUCUGCACCACCGGCCCCAGCGUCUCUGGCUGCACCACUGGCGGCAGCAACUCCCGCCCACGCCUCACCUCAGCCAUGCCAAGCUCCAGCUCACGCCUCACCUCAGCCAUGCCAAGCCUCAGCCCAGCCUGCAGCAGCUCGAGCCUCGGCUGCGUCACGUCAAGUUCAAGGUCCAGCUCAAGCCCAAGAUCAAGCUCCAGCUCAGUCACGUCAGGUUCAAGCCUCGGCUCAAGAUCAAGCUCCAUCUUUACGCCAGCUAG